RNAcentral lists this ribosomal RNA (379 nucleotides) under uncultured cyanobacterium. Its description in RNAcentral is "bacterial SSU rRNA". It matches the Rfam family "Bacterial small subunit ribosomal RNA", at positions 376 to 770 of the family's 1533-position model. The record is from RNAcentral. Lineage: Bacteria; Bacillati; Cyanobacteriota.
CGCAAGCCUGACGGAGCAACGCCGCGUGAGGGAGGAAGGCCUGUGGGUUGUAAACCUCUUUUCUCAGGGAAGAAGCUCUGACGGUACCUGAGGAAUCAGCAUCGGCUAACUCCGUGCCAGCAGCCGCGGUAAGACGGAGGAUGCAAGCGUUAUCCGGAAUUAUUGGGCGUAAAGCGUCCGCAGGUGGCUAGUCAAGUCUGCUGUCAAAGACCAGGGCUUAACCCUGGGCCGGCAGUGGAAACUGAAUGGCUAGAGUGCCGUAGGGGUAGAGGGAAUUCCCGGUGUAGCGGUGAAAUGCGUAGAGAUCGGGAAGAACAUCGGUGGCGAAAGCGCUCUACUGGACGGCAACUGACACUCAGGGACGAAAGCUAGGGGAGCG